UACGAAGGGGGCUAGCGUUGCUCGGAAUUACUGGGCGUAAAGGGCGCGUAGGCGGAUAGUUUAGUCAGAGGUGAAAGCCCAGGGCUCAACCUUGGAAUUGCCUUUGAUACUGGCUAUCUUGAGUUCGGGAGAGGUGAGUGGAAUGCCGAGUGUAGAGGUGAAAUUCGUAGAUAUUCGGCGGAACACCAGUGGCGAAGGCGACUCACUGGCCCGAUACUGACGCUGAGGCGCGAAAGCUGGGGGAGCGAACAGG
Molecule: ribosomal RNA, 253 nt
Filed under: uncultured bacterium
Lineage: Bacteria
Description: partial 16S ribosomal RNA
Rfam family: Bacterial small subunit ribosomal RNA
Source: RNAcentral